UAGCUGGUCUGAGAGGACGAUCAGCCACACUGGGACUGAGACAUGGCCCAGACUCCUACGGGAGGCAGCAGCAGGGAGUAUUGCACAAUGGGCGAAAGCCUGAUGCAGCGACACCGCGUGCGGGAUGAAGGCCUUCGGGUUGUAAACCGCUUUCAGGAGGGACGAAAAUGACGGUACCUCCAGAAGAAGGCCCGGCCAACUACGUGCCAGCAGCCGCGGUAAUACGUAGGGGCCAAACGUUGUCCGGAUUUAUUGGGCGUAAAGGGCUCGUAGGCGGUUCAACAAGUCGAUCGUGAAAGCCCGGGGCUCAACCCCGGGACGCCGGUCGAAACUGUUGUGACUAGGGUCCGGUAGAGGUGAGUGGAAUUCUCGGUGUAGCGGUGGAAUGCGCAGAUAUCGAGAGGAACACCAGUAGCGAAGGCGGCUCACUGGGCCGGUACCGACGCUGAGGAGCGAAAGCAUGGGGAGCAAACAGGAUUAGAUACCCUGGUAGUCCAUGCCGUAAACGAUGAACACUAGGUGUGGCGGACUCAUUGACGUCUGCCGUGCCGAAGCUAACGCAUUAAGUGUUCCGCCUGGGGAGUACGGCCGCAAGGCUAAAACUCAAAGGAAUUGACGGGGCCCCGCACAAGCGGCGGAGCAUGCGGCUUAAUUCGAUUCAACCCGAAGAACCUUACCUGGACUUGACAUCAUGGGUCUACCUGUAGAAAUACGGGGUGCUUAUGCGCCCAUGACAGGUGGUGCAUGGCUGUCGUCAGCUCGUGUCGUGAGAUGUUGGGUUAAGUCCCGCAACGAGCGCAACCCCUGUCCUAUGAUGCCAGCACGUAAUGGUGGGGACUCAUAGGAGACUGCCGGGGAUAACUCGGAGGAAGGCGGGGAUGACGUCAAGUCAUCAUGCCCCUUAUGUCCAGGGCUGCACGCAUGCUACAAUGGGUGGUACAACGGGCUGCAAACCUGCAAAGGUGAGCGAAUCCCUGAAAGCCAUCCCUAGUUCGGAUUGGAGUCUGCAACUCGACUCCAUGAAGCCGGAGUCGCUAGUAAUCGUGGAUCAGCAAAGCCGCGGUGAAUACGUUCUCGGGGCUUGUACACACCGCCCGUCACAUCACGGAAGUCGGUAACGCCCGAAGUCAGUGGCCCAACCCUUCAUUGGGAGGGAGCUGCCUAAGGUGGGAUCGGUGACUGGGAUGAAGUCGUAACAAGGUAGCCGUACGGGAACGUGCGGCUG
RNAcentral lists this ribosomal RNA (1225 nucleotides) under metagenome. Its description in RNAcentral is "bacterial SSU rRNA". It matches the Rfam family "Bacterial small subunit ribosomal RNA", at positions 284 to 1520 of the family's 1533-position model. The record is from RNAcentral.